This 757-nucleotide long non-coding RNA is filed under the name Homo sapiens (human). Its description in RNAcentral is "HSALNT0110983". The record is from RNAcentral. Lineage: Eukaryota; Metazoa; Chordata; Mammalia; Primates; Hominidae.
GUGCAUGUUCCUUGAGAAAGGAUGUCAGGCACACAGGCAGGGACCUGGUCAACCUUUGGAGAGCUGGCUUCCAUUCUGAGUGGGUAAGGAUGCUGCCUUACAGGGGGCUUAGCAUUCCCGUAAAAACUGACUGCUCUGGUCCCUGCCUAGAAAAGUAAUAUAGGACAUUGGUUGCAACUGUGCCCUGAACAGCUGGCUUCAAACCAUGGUAGAAGAUAAAUUCCCCUGCUCUUUGGAAUGCUGGUGUAUUUUUGGUGCUGUUUUUCUAAACUAUAGGGUUCUGCACACGGCUGAGAUCCAAACCUGUUGGAACUGUUUGUCUAACUUGCACUGGAUACAUAGAGAUUAAAUUCACUGCAAAGGGUUAAACACACGAUGUCUCCUGGACACUCACUAGUGAUGUUGAUGCUGAUGCUGAUGCUGAUGGAGAUGGCGAUUGGUCAACUGAGAAUGCCAAAAUCAAUCACAAGUCAAAAAUGGAAGUUUCUCAAUUUCAACCAUAUCAGGGCACGGACUCAACUUUCAGUAACAGGAAAACAACAACAAAAUAAAAUGACAGGCAACUUUGAAAAUGGAUGUACGGUUUCUGACACUGCAGAAUGAAGGCAAAGAAUGCAUGCUUGUCAAGUCUGUAGAUGGCCAAGCACAGAAAGGACAACCUUUAUCCUGAAUGAACAAGGACCUUGACAUGAUUGUGAGGAGGGAAGUGAAGAGUCUCCAUGCUGAACAAAACCAAUGGUGUGCCUUUCGCCUUCUG